This 427-nucleotide ribosomal RNA is filed under the name uncultured Providencia sp. Its description in RNAcentral is "bacterial SSU rRNA". It matches the Rfam family "Bacterial small subunit ribosomal RNA", at positions 355 to 774 of the family's 1533-position model. Lineage: Bacteria; Pseudomonadati; Pseudomonadota; Gammaproteobacteria; Enterobacterales; Morganellaceae. The record is from RNAcentral.
UGGGGAAUAUUGCACAAUGGGCGCAAGCCUGAUGCAGCCAUGCCGCGUGUAUGAAGAAGGCCUUAGGGUUGUAAAGUACUUUCAGUCGGGAGGAAGGCGUUGAUGCUAAUAUCAUCAACGAUUGACGUUACCGACAGAAGAAGCACCGGCUAACUCCGUGCCAGCAGCCGCGGUAAUACGGAGGGUGCAAGCGUUAAUCGGAAUUACUGGGCGUAAAGCGCACGCAGGCGGUUGAUUAAGUUAGAUGUGAAAUCCCCGGGCUUAACCUGGGAAUGGCAUCUAAGACUGGUCAGCUAGAGUCUUGUAGAGGGGGGUAGAAUUCCAUGUGUAGCGGUGAAAUGCGUAGAGAUGUGGAGGAAUACCGGUGGCGAAGGCGGCCCCCUGGACAAAGACUGACGCUCAGGUGCGAAAGCGUGGGGAGCAAACA